RNAcentral lists this long non-coding RNA (767 nucleotides) under Malus domestica (apple). Its description in RNAcentral is "long non-coding RNA (MDOM_LNC000802)". Lineage: Eukaryota; Viridiplantae; Streptophyta; Magnoliopsida; Rosales; Rosaceae. The record is from RNAcentral.
ACCUUUAUUACAGAGGUGAUAUGAAUGUGGUAAUAGUAGCUUUACUCAAAGAGAAAAUGAAUUACCUUCUUUUUUGAAUACUAAAAACUAGUGUUUUACGACUAGGGAUGGUAUAGGGUGCCCAUAGAUAUUCCAGCAUCAUAAUCAUCACCAUUACCAUCAUAAACACCACCAUUCACCAUCAUAAUUAACACAUAUUUAUACUUUAACGGGCUUCCAUUUAGCUAAAUGGGUACUCGUUGGUCAUCUCUUAUUUAUGACUAAUCUUGCUUGCAUGUGUAAUGAUAGGAAGACCAUAUUUUAAAACCACAUUGGUGUAUCAUUUCAUAUGACAGGUAAUGCACACAACCAACACUCAUUCAAAUGGAUUCAUUAAUUGACAUGCCGUAUACAUCACUUGUCAGGUCAAAUAGUACACCAAUGUGGUACAAAAAUGCAAUCUCCUAACACUUUUCUUUUUGCAUAUGAUUUUAGACCUAAUUAGCUAGCACACAAUGUAAAUGAUUUAACGUUUGUGUACAUGUAACACAGAUUUAUCAUGAUAUUUAAAUACCAGCAUGAUUUAUUCCACAAAACAUUAUAACAUCCCUUUCAAAAUGAAAUCUCCAUUAAAAUUAUAUUACAUAGUGUUCUUCUCCAAGUAAAUAUUAAAAUGAAGCCUAUCAAUUAUUUAAUUUUUCUUCCCUCAUGCUCAUUAGACAAUAGACACCUAACUAAUGCGAUGUUGACUUUGACAAGGUGGCAUUUGGGAUUUGAAGCAUUGGCGG